RNAcentral lists this unclassified non-coding RNA (336 nucleotides) under soil metagenome. RNAcentral's name for it is "partial contains 5.8S ribosomal RNA, internal transcribed spacer 2, and large subunit ribosomal RNA". The stretch from base 1 to 120 matches the Rfam family "5.8S ribosomal RNA", at positions 35 to 154 of the family's 154-position model. The record is from RNAcentral.
GAUGAAGAACGCAGUGAAAUGCGAUAAGUAAUGUGAAUUGCAGAAUUCAGUGAAUCAUCGAAUCUUUGAACGCACAUUGCGCCCCUUGGUAUUCCGGGGGGCAUGCCUGUUCGAGCGUCAUUUCAACCCCUCAAGCUCGGCUUGGUGUUGGGCUGCGCCAGCGUUGCUGGCGGGCCUUAAAAUCAGUGGCGGUGCCGUUUGGGCUCCAAGCGUAGUAGCAUCUCUCGCUCUGGAGACCCGGCGGUUGCUUGCCAGACAAUCACCAAAAAAACAAAGGUUUGACCUCGGAUCAGGUAGGGAUACCCGCUGAACUUAAGCAUAUCAAUAAGCGGAGGA